AGGAUGAAGCUGGCGGCAGGCCUAACACAUGUAAGUCGAGCGGAACGAGUUAUCUGAACCUUCGGGGAACGAUAACGGCGUCGAGCGGCGGACGGGUGAGUAAUGCCUAGGAAAUUGCCCUGAUGUGGGGGAUAACCAUUGGAAACGAUGGCUAAUACCGCAUAACGCCUACGGGCCAAAGAGGGGGACCUUCGGGCCUCUCGCGUCAGGAUAUGCCUAGGUGGGAUUAGCUAGUUGGUGAGGUAAUGGCUCACCAAGGCGACGAUCCCUAGCUGGUCUGAGAGGAUGAUCAGCCACACUGGAACUGAGACACGGUCCAGACUCCUACGGGAGGCAGCAGUGGGGAAUAUUGCACAAUGGGCGCAAGCCUGAUGCAGCCAUGCCGCGUGUGUGAAGAAGGCCUUCGGGUUGUAAAGCACUUUCAGUCGUGAGGAAGGUAGUGUAGUUAAUAACUGCAUUAUUUGACGUUAGCGACAGAAGAAGCACCGGCUAACUCCGUGCCAGCAGCCGCGGUAAUACGGAGGGUGCGAGCGUUAAUCGGAAUUACUGGGCGUAAAGCGCAUGCAGGUGGUUUGUUAAGUCAGAUGUGAAAGCCCGGGGCUCAACCUCGGAAUUGCAUUUGAAACUGGCAGACUAGAGUACUGUAGAGGGGGGUAGAAUUUCAGGUGUAGCGGUGAAAUGCGUAGAGAUCUGAAGGAAUACCGGUGGCGAAGGCGGCCCCCUGGACAGAUACUGACACUCAGAUGCGAAAGCGUGGGGGAGCAAACAGGAUUAGAUACCCUGGUAGUCCACGCCGUAAACGAUGUCUACUUGGAGGUUGUGGCCUUGAGCCGUGGCUUUCGGAGCUAACGCGUUAAGUAGACCGGCCUGGGGAGUACGGUCGCAAGAUUAAAACUCAAAUGAAUUGACGGAAGGGGC
Molecule: ribosomal RNA, 918 nt
Filed under: uncultured bacterium
Lineage: Bacteria
Description: bacterial SSU rRNA
Rfam family: Bacterial small subunit ribosomal RNA
Source: RNAcentral